This 1473-nucleotide ribosomal RNA is filed under the name Halosimplex carlsbadense. RNAcentral describes it as "bacterial SSU rRNA". It matches the Rfam family "Archaeal small subunit ribosomal RNA". The record is from RNAcentral. Lineage: Archaea; Methanobacteriati; Methanobacteriota; Halobacteria; Halobacteriales; Haloarculaceae.
AUUCCGGUUGAUCCUGCCGGAGGCCAUUGCUAUCGGAGUCCGAUUUAGCCAUGCUAGUCGCGCGGGUUUAGACCCGCGGCAGAUAGCUCAGUAACACGUGGCCAAACUACCCUAUGGACGGAGAUAACCUCGGGAAACUGAGGCUAAUAUCCGAUACAGCUCGCACGCUGGAGUGCAGCGAGCUGGAAACGUUCCGGCGCCAUAGGAUGUGGCUGCGGCCGAUUAGGUAGACGGUGGGGUAAUGGCCCACCGUGCCGAUAUCGGUACAGGUUGUGAGAGCAAGAGCCUAGGAGACGGAAUCUGAGACAAGAUUCCGGGCCCUACGGGGCGCAGCAGGCGCGUAACCUUUACACUGCACGACAGUGCGAUAGGGGGACUCCGAGUGCGAGGUCAUACAGUCCUCGCUUUUCUGCACCGUAAGGUGGUACAGGAACAAGUGCUGGGCAAGACCGGUGCCAGCCGCCGCGGUAAUACCGGCAGCACGAGUGAUGGCCGAUUUUAUUGGGCCUAAAGCGUCCGUAGCCGGCCGAGCAAGUCUGUUGGGAAAUCCACGCGCUCAACGCGUGGGCGUCCAGCGGAAACUGUUCGGCUUGGGGCCGAGGACUCGAGGGGUACGUCCGGGGUAGGAGUGAAAUCCCGUAAUCCUGGACGGACCACCGAGUGGCGAAAGCGCCUCGAGAAGAUGGACCCGACGGUGAGGGACGAAAGCUUGGGUCUCGAACCGGAUUAGAUACCCGGGUAGUCCAAGCUGUAAACGAUGCUCGCUAGGUGUGCCGCAGGCUACGAGCCUGCGCUGUGCCGUAGGGAAGCCGAGAAGCGAGCCGCCUGGGAAGUACGUCUGCAAGGAUGAAACUUAAAGGAAUUGGCGGGGGAGCACUACAACCGGAGGAGCCUGCGGUUUAAUUGGACUCAACGCCGGACAUCUCACCAGCACCGACAACGGUAAUGAUGGCCAGGUUGAUGACCUUACCCGACGCCGUUGAGAGGAGGUGCAUGGCCGCCGUCAGCUCGUACCGUGAGGCAUCCUGUUAAGUCAGGCAACGAGCGAGACCCGCAUCCUUAAUUGCCAGCAGCAUCCUUGUGAUGGCUGGGUACAUUAGGGAGACCGCCACGGCUAACGUGGAGGGAGGAACGGGCAACGGUAGGUCAGCAUGCCCCGAAUGUGCUGGGCAACACGCGGGCUACAAUGGCCGGGACAGUGGGAAGCUAAUCCUAGAGGAUACGCUAAUCCCCUAAACCCGGUCGUAGUUCGGAUUGAGGGCUGAAACUCGCCCUCAUGAAGCUGGAUUCGGUAGUAAUCGCGUGUCAGAAGCGCGCGGUGAAUACGUCCCUGCUCCUUGCACACACCGCCCGUCAAAUCACCCGAGUGGGGUCCGGAUGAGGCCAUCAUGCGAUGGUCGAAUCUGGGCUCCGCAAGGGGGAUUAAGUCGUAAAAAGGUAGCCGUAGGGGAAUCUGCGGCUGGAUCACCUCCU